GAUGAAGAACGCAGCGAAAUGCGAUAAGUAGUGUGAAUUGCAGAAUUCAGUGAAUCAUCGAAUCUUUGAACGCACAUUGCGCCCCUUGGUAUUCCAUGGGGCAUGCCUGUUCGAGCGUCAUUUGUACCUUCAAGCUCUGCUUGGUGUUGGGUGUUUGUCUCGCCUCUGCGUGUAGACUCGCCUCAAAACAUUUGGCAGCCGGCGUAUUGAUUUCGGAGCGCAGUACAUCUCGCGCUUUGCACUCAUAACGACGACGUCCAAAAGUACAUUUUUACACUCUUGACCUCGGAUCAGGUAGGGAUACCCGCUGAACUUAAGCAUAUCAAUAAGCGGAGGA
RNAcentral lists this unclassified non-coding RNA (337 nucleotides) under soil metagenome. RNAcentral describes it as "partial contains 5.8S ribosomal RNA, internal transcribed spacer 2, and large subunit ribosomal RNA". The stretch from base 1 to 120 matches the Rfam family "5.8S ribosomal RNA", at positions 35 to 154 of the family's 154-position model. The record is from RNAcentral.